GCGAGCAGGAAGACUUCCUGAGGCGGCGGAGCCGGGGCCGCGAGGCAGAGGUGUGCGCUUUUGGACCUGGGGAUCUGAAAGGCUUUGCUCCUGAAGUGAAGGUGCAGCAGCUGGACCCUGGGUGUCAGGGAGGCCUCCCUGCUUGGCAAGGGCUUUGGAGGCGUGAGAAUCCGGAACCGGCAACGCGCUUUCUCCUAUUGGCCAACUCAACGAUUCCUAUUUGCAUAUGCAAUACCAGGCAGGGCUGUCCGACGAAGUCACGUGGCCAAGAACAACUGAAGGACCCCGCGGCGAAAGGGUGCGGCCGGAGCUCCAGUGGCGCAAUCGGUUAGCGCGCGGUACUUAUAUGACAGUGCGAGCGGAGCAAUGCCGAGGUUGUGAGUUCGAUCCUCACCUGGAGCACUUUAGUUUUCUCUUAUCAGUUUUUAUAAAUUGAUGCAUAUUAUAAAUUAACCCAAACACACAUCACCUAAGAGUUUCCUCUUUCGAACAUUUCGAUCUUGGGAAUUUUCCAGCUAGAAAGACUCCUGGGACUCUGGCGACGGUCGCUUAGGGAGCGAGUGUUGUGUGUUGCGGGGAGGUUCCGUUUUUAUCCUGGCCGCCAGAGGGUGGUAUCGCCCCUUAGAUGCCUGGGCCUUCCCUUGGGUCUACAAAUCUCAGCGUAAGACUUCUCUAAAUGUGUCAGGCUGUGCAUCCUCCGCAAACUGUACAUGGCACUGCCUCUUUCUCUGUCUUGGAUUUUCCUUCCAGUUUCAUUGAGAUGUAAUUGCCAAAUAACAUUAAAUUGAUUCAAGGUGUAGAACAUAAUGAAUUGAUACAUGUCUAAAUGGUGAAAUGAUCAUCACAAGUUUAGUUACUAAUUUUUCUUUCUUGUAUGUCUUGGAGUUUUUUAACACCCUCUUCCCCUCUCCGUUUCUGAAUCAAUUUGUUUACUGAACAUUCAUUAUGUGACCGGCUCCUGUUUACGGUUUAGGUGUGGGCGAUACAGGAGGGACCCAGAUAAAUCCGUACCCCUCAUGAUGUGACAUUCUAGCGGGGGAAGACAGAUUGCUACAGACAUAAGAACUAAGUGCAUUUUUUAUGUUAGGUGGUGAUCAAUGUCAUGGAAAAAGUAGAGCAACGACCGAAGGUAGGGAGGAUGGGGGAGUGAGAGGUGGGGUGUGGGUUGCAAUAAGAGCAGUCAGGGACCAUCUCACUGAGGAGACAUUUGAUCGGACACCAGAAGGAGAGGAGUGAGCCACGGGGCCACCUGGGGGACUCUUCCAGGCAGAGAAACAGCCAGUGCAAAAGCCCUGUGGCUGAAAAAUGUCAGAGGUAUUGGUGGAGCAGCUAGGAAGCCAGUGUGACCACAAGAGUGACCAAAGAUUACAGCCAGUCCCUGUAGGCUGGUGAGGACUUAGGACUUUGGCUAUGUGGUCUGACGCAGGUGUCAUGACAGGUUCCCUUUCGUUAUCUAGUGGGGGAGUGGGGACAGACUGAGGGCAGCAGGGGCCUGAGCCAGGAGCCCAGGAAGGGGCUGCAGGGGGAAGAUGAUGCUGGAUGGGACCAGGGGUGUAGCCAGAGGAGGCGGGAGGCUGGCUUGUAGAUCCAUUUGGAAGGUGAAUCCGACAGGAUUGCUGUUCGCCUGGGAUGUGGAUUUGAGAGAGAGGCGGAGUCAAGGAGACUCCCAGGUGUCUGGCAGCGCUGGCUGGUGGUCGGUGCUGUCGUCUCAAACGAGGGGUUUUUGUUGUUGCCAAGGGAAGGACCAGAGAUGUCUGUUUCUUGUCCCUUCAGUGCUUGUCAACGUCCGCAGGGCUUGCUCUUGCCCUCUGCCUCCCAAUGGCCUUGGGCCUCUGCGUUUCUGUCUGUCUCAACCCUCUUGUACCUAUGGGGACCUGAGCCCUUUCCCACAAGGGGGGGCCGCUUCCUGGAAGAGGAGAUGAAAGGUCGGGGCCUGCCAGUGGGCAAGGGGAGAGGGCAAGGAGGCAAGAGGA
Equus quagga is the source of this 1973-nucleotide long non-coding RNA. RefSeq lists it as uncharacterized. NCBI's taxonomy places the organism in Eukaryota, Metazoa, Chordata, Mammalia, Perissodactyla, Equidae. The record is from RefSeq and is a predicted model, not a curated record. The transcript is spliced from 3 exons.